CGGCCCAUACCAUUCUACAGCAUAAGAAGAAGGUAGUGACAAGUAAAUAACAAUACAAGGCAGUUAAAAUAGGCUUUGUAAUUAGGAAUCGAUAGAAAUUUAAACACUUUUUAAAGUAUCAAUUAGGAGGGCAAGUCUGGUGCCAGCAGCCGCGGUAAUUCCAGCUCCAAUAGCGUAUAUUAAAAUUGUUGCAGUUAAAAAGCUCGUAGUUGAAUUUCUGCUAAAAAUAACCGGUCUGCUUUUAAUAAAGGUGGUAUCUUGGUGUGUUUUUAGCAAUAAUGUCCUUUGAAAUGUUUUUUACUUCAUUGUAAUAAAUUAUUUUUAGGAUUUUUACUUUGAGAAAAUUAGAGUGUUUCUAGCAGGCUAACGCUUUGAAUACUGCAGCAUGGAAUAAUAAAAUAGGAUUUUGGUUCUACAUUAUUGGUUUUAAGAGCUAAAUUAAUGAUUGAUAGGGACAGUUGGGGCCAUUUUUGUAUU
RNAcentral lists this ribosomal RNA (477 nucleotides) under Hepatozoon felis. RNAcentral's name for it is "bacterial SSU rRNA". It matches the Rfam family "Eukaryotic small subunit ribosomal RNA", at positions 435 to 898 of the family's 1831-position model. The record is from RNAcentral. Lineage: Eukaryota; Apicomplexa; Hepatozoidae.